UACGGAGGGUGCAAACGUUGCUCGGAAUCAUUGGGCGUAAAGCGCACGUAGGCGGUCAAGCAAGUCGGGUGUGAAAGCCCUCGGCUUAACCGAGGAAGUGCAUUCGAAACUACUGGACUUGAGUACUGAAGAGGAUCGCGGAAUUCCCGGUGUAGAGGUGAAAUUCGUAGAUAUUGGGAAGAACACCGGUGGCGAAGGCGGCGACCUGGUCCGAUACUGACGCUGAGGCGCGAAAGCGUGGGGAGCAAACAGG
This 253-nucleotide ribosomal RNA is filed under the name uncultured bacterium. RNAcentral's name for it is "partial 16S ribosomal RNA". It matches the Rfam family "Bacterial small subunit ribosomal RNA", at positions 524 to 776 of the family's 1533-position model. The record is from RNAcentral.